This 1026-nucleotide long non-coding RNA is filed under the name Chelonoidis abingdonii (Abingdon island giant tortoise). Its description in RNAcentral is "lncRNA (ENSCABG00000001264.1)". Lineage: Eukaryota; Metazoa; Chordata; Testudines; Testudinidae. The record is from RNAcentral.
AGAGUGAAUAAAUGAAGACUUGGCACACCACUUCUGAAAGGUUGCCAACCCCUGGGCUGGAGGAACCUGGAGAGUACAUUUCUAUUCUAAUCUAAUCUACAUUUCUAUUUGUUUGGGUUCUGUAGGUUAAAUUAAUGCAGACUCUGCUCCACUCUCUCCCAAGGGAGUAAUGUUGCUGUGCACAAUGAGAAAUCUUGGGAAAGACUGAAAUGAAAUGGAAGCAGUAUAUGAUGGCAGAACCUAAGGAAUUAAAAGUCCAUUGGUUCUUGUGUGUGUACACUGACUCUGAACCCGAAGUGUAAGUUUUCUCGCUUUGUGGCUGCAGCCAGCAAAAUAUUUAACUAUCUGUCAGGGAUGGUCUAGACAGUAUUUGGUCCUGCCACGAGGGCAGGGGACUGGACUCAAUGACCCCUCAAGGUCCCUUCCAGUCCUAGAGUCUAUGAAUCUAUGAAACUCUGGCUUUUCCUACAUGCUGUAGACUGUGAAUUCCUGGGAAUGGGCAGGGGGAGAGGGAGCAAGAGGAGAAAGGCAGAGACAUUGGAAAAGAAUAAUGGGGGGAGAAGAAAGAGACAGAGAACAGAGAGAGACAAUAAAUGAUUGAAGAUGUCCCAACUCCAUCUAGCUCAUCACAGGUGUUCAGAAAGCUGGGGAGCUGUAGGUUUCAAAUAUCAAGGGGAUCUCCACAUACCUGAUCUCUCUCCCCCAGCUCCCAUUUUAGUAUUAAUUUUUAUUACGAAAUGUUUGGCUUACCCCCGAUCUUCUCUUUCCCCACCUAUAUUGCAAUUUGGGUGGUUUUUUUGCUUUCCUUUUGUUCAUAUCAAUAUAAUUUUAACAGCAAAGGAAUCUAUAGGAGCAAAAACUGACUCAAAACUUUAUUUCCCCCUCAUGCAGGAACAUGAUACAAACAUCACACACAGCUGGAAUCAUAACACGGAAGGCCAGGGGAUGGGAGAUGCAGGGUUCCAAUUUUCCAUUGGCUUUUCUGGGCUGGUGCAAAGGUUGACAAUGCAGCAACACAUGACAUAA